Molecule: transfer RNA, 63 nt
Filed under: Tristoma integrum
Lineage: Eukaryota; Metazoa; Platyhelminthes; Monogenea; Capsalidea; Capsalidae
Description: tRNA-Ala
Source: RNAcentral
AAUGGUGUAGUUUAAUUUAAGAUAGUUGUUUUGCGUACAUCAGAUAGGGUUUCCUCACUGUUA